Small RNA from Xanthomonas albilineans GPE PC73, 76 nucleotides. It matches the Rfam family "Xanthomonas sRNA sX9". The record is from Rfam. Lineage: Bacteria; Pseudomonadati; Pseudomonadota; Gammaproteobacteria; Lysobacterales; Lysobacteraceae.
AUCUGCAAACUACAUACUGCGGUUCCUGCGCGCUGUCCGCGCCUACCCGACAGCAACUCGCGACGUUUUGUUGGCC